Molecule: ribosomal RNA, 253 nt
Filed under: uncultured bacterium
Lineage: Bacteria
Description: partial 16S ribosomal RNA
Rfam family: Bacterial small subunit ribosomal RNA
Source: RNAcentral
UACGGAGGGGGCUAGCGUUGUUCGGAAUUACUGGGCGUAAAGCGCACGUAGGCGGCUUUGCAAGUUAGAGGUGAAAGCCUGGAGCUCAACUCCAGAACUGCCUUUAAAACUGCAUCGCUUGAAUCCAGGAGAGGUGAGUGGAAUUCCGAGUGUAGAGGUGAAAUUCGUAGAUAUUCGGAAGAACACCAGUGGCGAAGGCGGCUCACUGGACUGGUAUUGACGCUGAGGUACGAAAGCGUGGGGAGCAAACAGG